Eptesicus fuscus (big brown bat) is the source of this 578-nucleotide long non-coding RNA. RefSeq lists it as uncharacterized. Lineage: Eukaryota; Metazoa; Chordata; Mammalia; Chiroptera; Vespertilionidae. The transcript has 3 exons. The record is from RefSeq and is a predicted model, not a curated record.
GGCACUGAAGGCCGAGGCACAGGAGUUGGGGGGUGUAUGUGGCAGGGAAUCUGGAGAUCUGGAUGCGGGGGGACUGACACCAUCCCAUUUCCUGGAGGCCUGGCCUUAGGAGGCGAGUGGACCCCGAUUGGAUCUGCCCUGGCAGUGACCACACAGGCCCUGUGACCCCCAGAGGAGACAUGGGUCAACUGUGUGAGAAGUCCUCUGCUCACUGAGGAUGCCCUCCCAGCUCCCCUGCCCGUGUCUGGCCCACGUGGGACAAGACAAUGGAAGCAUGGCAUGCAGUUACCGAGGUCCACUUGGUGCCGGGAACACACCAGGGCCUCCAGGGCGCCGAGAUCCAGGAGGACAAAAACCCUUCCUGAAGGAGCCCAGGGCCGCCUAGGAACUCGGGGCCCUUCCUGGGCUGGUGUGUGCUGGAAACAACAGAGCUGGGCUGACUUCAGAACAAGAUGGGGAGGGGAGGCGGCCGUGGCCGUGGGGAAGGACGGAGCCUGAGCGCUGACCCCGAAAUCGGACGUUGCCCAAGGGGCCCCUCCCUGUUCUUUCCCUUCCAGCCUGAGCCCCUAAGUGGGGUG